Molecule: unclassified non-coding RNA, 360 nt
Filed under: soil metagenome
Description: partial contains 5.8S ribosomal RNA, internal transcribed spacer 2, and large subunit ribosomal RNA
Rfam family: 5.8S ribosomal RNA (bases 1-120)
Source: RNAcentral
GAUGAAGAACGUAGUGAAAUGCGAUAAGUAAUGCGAAUUGCAGAAUUCAGUGAAUCAUCGAAUCUUUGAACGCACAUUGCGCCCGCCAGGAUUCUGGCGGGCAUGCCUGUCUGUGCGUCGUUUCGACCCUCGCGCCCGGCUUCUGUCGGGGGCGGUGUUGGGGAUCGGCCACACCCUUCAGUGGGAGGCCGGCCCCUAAAUUCAGUGGCGACCACGCUGUAGCCUCCCCUGCGUAGUACUAAAACCACCUCGCAGGCGGAGAGCGGUGCGGCCCGCCGUAAAACCCCCCAACUUUUACAAGGUCGACCUCAGAUCAGGUAGGAAUACCCGCUGAACUUAAGCAUAUCAAUAAGCGGAGGA